GAUGAACGCUGGCGGCGUGCCUAAUACAUGCAAGUCGAGCGAACAGACGAGGAGCUUGCUCCUCUGACGUUAGCGGCGGACGGGUGAGUAACACGUGGAUAACCUACCUAUAAGACUGGGAUAACUUCGGGAAACCGGAGCUAAUACCGGAUAAUAUAUUGAACCGCAUGGUUCAAUAGUGAAAGACGGUUUUGCUGUCACUUAUAGAUGGAUCCGCGCCGCAUUAGCUAGUUGGUAAGGUAACGGCUUACCAAGGCAACGAUGCGUAGCCGACCUGAGCGGGUGAUCGGCCACACUGGAACUGAGAAACGGUCCAGACUCCUACGGGAGGCAGCAGUAGGGAAUCUUCCGCAAUGGGCGAAAGCCUGACGGAGCAACGCCGCGUGAGUGAUGAAGGUCUUCGGAUCGUAAAACUCUGUUAUUAGGGAAGAACAAAUGUGUAAGUAACUAUGCACGUCUUGACGGUACCUAAUCAGAAAGCCACGGCUAACUACGUG
Molecule: ribosomal RNA, 497 nt
Filed under: uncultured bacterium
Lineage: Bacteria
Description: partial 16S ribosomal RNA
Rfam family: Bacterial small subunit ribosomal RNA
Source: RNAcentral